AGUGAACGCUGGCGGUAGGCCUAACACAUGCAAGUCGAACGGCAGCACAGUAAGAGCUUGCUCUUACGGGUGGCGAGUGGCGGACGGGUGAGGAAUACAUCGGAAUCUACUUUUUCGUGGGGGAUAACGUAGGGAAACUUACGCUAAUACCGCAUACGACCUACGGGUUAAAGCAGGGGAUCUUCGGACCUUGCGCGAUUGAAUGAGCCGAUGUCGGAUUAGCUAGUUGGCGGGGUAAAGGCCCACCAAGGCGACGAUCCGUAGCUGGUCUGAGAGGAUGAUCAGCCACACUGGAACUGAGACACGGUCCAGACUCCUACGGGAGGCAGCAGUAGGGAAUAUUCGACAAUGGGCGCAAGCCUGAUCCAGCCAUACCGCGUGAGUGAUGAAGGCCUUCGGGUUGUAAAGCCCUUUUGUUGGGAAAGAAAAGAAGCAGGUUAAUACCCGGCUGUUCUGACGGUACCCAAAGAAUAAGCACCGGCUAACUUCGUG
This 492-nucleotide ribosomal RNA is filed under the name uncultured bacterium. RNAcentral's name for it is "partial 16S ribosomal RNA". It matches the Rfam family "Bacterial small subunit ribosomal RNA", at positions 29 to 507 of the family's 1533-position model. The record is from RNAcentral.